GACGAACGCUGGCGGCGUGCUUAACACAUGCAAGUCGAACGAAGUGGCGAACGGGUGAGUAACGCGUAAUCAACCUGCCCUUCAGAGGGGGACACCAGUUGAAAACGAAUGCUAAUCCCGAAUACUGACGGGGGAGGUUGCGGCUGAUUAGCUAGUUGGAGGGGUAACGGCCCACCAAGGCGAUGAGUAGUAGCCGGUCUGGGAGGAUGAACGGCCCAAUUGGGACUGAGACACGGCCCAGACUCCUACGGGAGGCAGCAGGGGGGAAUCAUUCGCAAUGGACGAAAGUCUGACGGAGCAACGGCGCGUGAGUGAUGAAGGCCUUCGGGUUGGAAAGCUCUGUUAAUCGGGACGCGGUACCGGAAUAGAAAGCCACGGCUAACUACGUGCCAGCAGCCGCGGUAAUAC
Molecule: ribosomal RNA, 408 nt
Filed under: uncultured bacterium
Lineage: Bacteria
Description: partial 16S ribosomal RNA
Rfam family: Bacterial small subunit ribosomal RNA
Source: RNAcentral